This is a long non-coding RNA of Mauremys reevesii (Reeves's turtle), 709 nucleotides long. RefSeq lists it as uncharacterized. Lineage: Eukaryota; Metazoa; Chordata; Testudines; Geoemydidae. The transcript is spliced from 4 exons. The record is from RefSeq and is a predicted model, not a curated record.
AGUACACAGGAGCUUGUUGCUGAACAGGUAUGUCAGCUCCAUACACCAAUGUGAAGGAGAAGCGGUGGCCAUGCAAACCAUUUUCUACGCGAUGAGUCAGAUUUUAUUUGCAUUUUGGUAUGGAAUCAGUAGAAUCUGUUAUGAGGUUCUGAAGAGGUCAUAAGGGGAACAGAUUUCUUUCCUCCAGAUGGAAGCUUUAAACAACAGGGAAUAAUUACAUGGAAAUGCAAGAAUCCUCAGAGUGUGAUGGACAGAGAGUCAGAUUCUCAGAAGAGCUCAGCUUGCAGUUAGGCACCAAAAUAGGGGGCCAGAUUUCCAGGGAACUCAGCCUGUUGGGUGUGGAGCACUCCUGAAAAUAUGGCCUUUUAUUCUCAGUGAGGACAACUGCAUUGGAAGUCACUGAAGAAGUUUGCUGUAGAGAUGAUGAAGUUAUGAGACAUUAGAGUGCAUCUCUCCUCCUGGAUGUUUGCUGGUAUGAAUUUAGGAAGUGUAGACCAGCCCUGAGACAGAGAAGCAGCAGAAAUAUCACAGAAGCACACAGAGAAGGCAGCAAGGAAGCCUGACAACCAGACAGAAGUAUUUGUAGAAUGAUGCUGAGAGAGAAAGAGAGAGAGCUAUAUGAGAAAAGUGCUGUCUGAAAAGAGGCUUUGAACUGUGAGCAAAUAAACUCUCAUGAUGUUUGAUUCCCACUGUGUUCUGGGUAACAGAA